This 465-nucleotide ribosomal RNA is filed under the name uncultured bacterium. RNAcentral describes it as "partial 16S ribosomal RNA". It matches the Rfam family "Bacterial small subunit ribosomal RNA", at positions 338 to 795 of the family's 1533-position model. The record is from RNAcentral.
CCUACGGGUGGCAGCAGUGGGGAAUAUUGCGCAAUGGGCGAAAGCCUGACGCAGCGACGCCGCGUGAGGGACGAAGGUCCUCUGAAUGGUAAACUCCGUUAGUAGGGGAGAACGUUCACUGUGCUAUUCAGCAGUGUAUUGACGGUACCUGCAAAGUAAGCACAGGCUAAUUCCGGCCCAGCAGCCGCGGUAAUACGUAGGGCGCUAGCGUUAGUCCGAAUUACUGGGCGUAAAGGGGGCGUAGGUGGUAUGGUAAGUCAAGGGUGAAUUGCGCGACCUCAACGUGGGAACUGCCUUUGGAACUGGGAAACUGGAGUGUGUGAGAGGAAAGUGGAAUUCCAGGGGUAGGAGUGAAAUGCGUAGAUAUCUGGAGGAACAUCAGUGGCGAAGGCGGCUAUCUGGAACAUAACUGACGCUGAGGAGCGAAAGCGUGGGUAGCGAAAAGGAUUAGAUACCCUUGUAGUC